GUCUACGGCCAUACUACCGUGAAUGUGUCCAAUCUCAUCUGAUGUGAGAAGCUAAGCAGGGUCGGGCCUGGUUAGUACCUGGAUGGGAGACCACUUGGGACUACCUGGUGCUGUAGGCU
This 119-nucleotide ribosomal RNA is filed under the name Prolemur simus (greater bamboo lemur). Lineage: Eukaryota; Metazoa; Chordata; Mammalia; Primates; Lemuridae. The record is from RNAcentral.